GACGAGUCUCACGAACGUUAUUCGGAAUUACUGGGCGUAAAGGGCGCGUAGGCGGCCCGCUAAGUCGAACGUGAAAUCCCUGGGCUCAACCCAGGAACUGCGUCCGAUACUGGUGGGCUUGAAUCCGGGAGAGGGAUGUGGAAUUCCAGGUGUAGCGGUGAAAUGCGUAGAUAUCUGGAGGAACACCGGUGGCGAAGGCGACAUCCUGGACCGGUAUUGACGCUGAGGCGCGAAAGCCAGGGGAGCAAACGGG
RNAcentral lists this ribosomal RNA (253 nucleotides) under uncultured bacterium. RNAcentral's name for it is "partial 16S ribosomal RNA". It matches the Rfam family "Bacterial small subunit ribosomal RNA", at positions 524 to 776 of the family's 1533-position model. The record is from RNAcentral.